This 334-nucleotide long non-coding RNA is filed under the name Aotus nancymaae (Ma's night monkey). RNAcentral describes it as "lncRNA (ENSANAG00000039152.1)". Lineage: Eukaryota; Metazoa; Chordata; Mammalia; Primates; Aotidae. The record is from RNAcentral.
UGAAUUCAGAGUUAAAGAACAAGGAGGGAGGAUUGCAGCCUUUAGAGAAGGGUACAGGGCCUGGAGACCCAAGAAAGUUCCUACCCUUCAUUCGCACCUGACAUUUCAGGAGCCUCUUAAUUUAGUCUCACAAGUCGAUGCCCACAGGAAGUGAGAGCCUGGCAGAUACCAGGAACUUCAGGAGGACUCCGGCUCAUUCUCUGAUUUGACUAAAGCUGUCUGGAAGAAGAAAACAUCAAUAUCCCGAAGGAAUGGAGAUGUUUCUAUGGAAAACCUAGGAAUUUUAGUCCAUAACAGAUCUGGCGUAAAAAAAAUCAAAGAGAUCAAAGGCAGA